Molecule: microRNA precursor, 136 nt
Filed under: Gossypium hirsutum (cotton)
Lineage: Eukaryota; Viridiplantae; Streptophyta; Magnoliopsida; Malvales; Malvaceae
Description: MIR7502 microRNA precursor family
Rfam family: MIR7502 microRNA precursor family
Source: Rfam by way of RNAcentral
UAUUAAAAGUUUCAUCCAUUUCUACUGUUAAAAGCUAGCAUGACUAACAGAAUAAUUAGACAGGCGUGCCAUGUGUACCUCAUUCUGAUGUACAGGGACCAGUUUUUAAUAGUAGAAAUUGAUGAAAUUUUUAACA